GACGAACGCUGGCGGCGUGCUUAUCACAUGCAAGUCGAACGGAAAGGCCCUGCUUUUGUGGGGUGCUCGAGUGGCGAACGGGUGAGUAACACGUGAGUAACCUGCCCUUGACUUUGGGAUAACUUCAGGAAACUGGGGCUAAUACCGGAUAGGAGCUCCUGCUGCAUGGUGGGGGUUGGAAAGUUUCGGCGGUUGGGGAUGGACUCGCGGCUUAUCAGCUUGUUGGUGGGGUAGUGGCUUACCAAGGCUUUGACGGGUAGCCGGCCUGAGAGGGUGACCGGCCACAUUGGGACUGAGAUACGGCCCAGACUCCUACGGGAGGCAGCAGUGGGGAAUAUUGCACAAUGGGCGGGAGCCUGAUGCAGCAACGCCGCGUGCGGGAUGACGGCCUUCGGGUUGUAAACCGCUUUCGCCUGUGACGAAGCGUGAGUGACGGUAAUGGGUAAAGAAGCACCGGCUAACUACGUG
RNAcentral lists this ribosomal RNA (468 nucleotides) under uncultured bacterium. RNAcentral's name for it is "partial 16S ribosomal RNA". It matches the Rfam family "Bacterial small subunit ribosomal RNA", at positions 28 to 507 of the family's 1533-position model. The record is from RNAcentral.